CGUAGUUGGAUUUCUGGUGGAAGUGACCGGUCUGUCCCUAGUGGAUGUGAACUUGUGUCUACUUUUGCCAUCCUUGGGGAGAGCGUGCCUGGCAUUAGGUUGUCGGGUUCGGGAUCCCCAUCCUUUACUGUGAAAAAAUUAGAGUGUUUAAAGCAGGCUUAUGCCAUUGAAUACAUUAGCAUGGAAUAAUAAGAUAGGACUUUGGUGGUCUAUUUUGUUGGUUUGCACACCAAGGUAAUGA
This 241-nucleotide ribosomal RNA is filed under the name uncultured eukaryote. Its description in RNAcentral is "partial 18S ribosomal RNA". It matches the Rfam family "Eukaryotic small subunit ribosomal RNA", at positions 629 to 868 of the family's 1831-position model. The record is from RNAcentral.